RNAcentral lists this ribosomal RNA (506 nucleotides) under uncultured bacterium. RNAcentral describes it as "partial 16S ribosomal RNA". It matches the Rfam family "Bacterial small subunit ribosomal RNA", at positions 29 to 523 of the family's 1533-position model. The record is from RNAcentral.
AGUGAACGCUGGCGGUAGGCCUAACACAUGCAAGUCGAACGGCAGCACAGGAGAGCUUGCUCUCUGGGUGGCGAGUGGCGGACGGGUGAGGAAUACAUCGGAAUCUACUCUGCCGUGGGGGAUAACGUAGGGAAACUUACGCUAAUACCGCAUACGACCUACGGGUGAAAGCAGGGGACCUUCGGGCCUUGCGCGAUUGAAUGAGCCGAUGUCGGAUUAGCUAGUUGGCGGGGUAAAGGCCGACCAAGGCGACGAUCCGUAGCUGGUCUGAGAGGAUGAUCAGCCACACUGGAACUGAGACACGGUCCAGACUCCUACGGGAGGCAGCAGUGGGGAAUAUUGGACAAUGGGCGCAAGCCUGAUCCAGCCAUACCGCGUAGGUGAAGAAGGCCUUCGGGUUGUAAAGCCCUCUUGUUGGGAAAGAAAUCCAGCUGGCUAAUACCCGGUUGGGAUGACGGUACCCAAAGAAUAAGCACCGGCUAACUUCGUGCCAGCCGCCGCCGUAA